UGGGGAAUAUUGGACAAUGGGCGAAAGCCUGAUCCAGCAAUGCCGCGUGUGUGAAGAAGGUCUUCGGAUUGUAAAGCACUUUCGACGGGGACGAUGAUGACGGUACCCGUAGAAGAAGCCCCCGGNUAACUUCGUGCCAG
Molecule: ribosomal RNA, 140 nt
Filed under: uncultured bacterium
Lineage: Bacteria
Description: partial 16S ribosomal RNA
Rfam family: Bacterial small subunit ribosomal RNA
Source: RNAcentral